RNAcentral lists this ribosomal RNA (467 nucleotides) under uncultured bacterium. Its description in RNAcentral is "partial 16S ribosomal RNA". It matches the Rfam family "Bacterial small subunit ribosomal RNA", at positions 29 to 507 of the family's 1533-position model. The record is from RNAcentral.
ACGAACGCUGGCGGCGUGCUUAACACAUGCCCGUCGAACGGAAAGGCCCUGCUUUCGUGGGGUGCUCGAGUGGCGAACGGGUGAGUAACACGUGAGUAACCUGCCCUUGACUUUGGGAUAACUUCAGGAAACUGGGGCUAAUACCGGAUAGGAGCUCCUGCUGCAUGGUGGGGGUUGGAAAGUUUCGGCGGUUGGGGAUGGACUCGCGGCUUAUCAGCUUGUUGGUGGGGUAGUGGCUUACCAAGGCUUUGACGGGUAGCCGGCCUGAGAGGGUGACCGGCCACAUUGGGACUGAGAUACGGCCCAGACUCCUACGGGAGGCAGCAGUGGGGAAUAUUGCACAAUGGGCGGAAGCCUGAUGCAGCAACGCCGCGUGCGGGAUGACGGCCUUCGGGUUGUAAACCGCUUUCGCCUGUGACGAAGCGUGAGUGACGGUAAUGGGUAAAGAAGCACCGGCUAACUACGUG